CGGGACACGUGGUAUCCUGUCUGAAUAUGGGGGGACCAUCCUCCAAGGCUAAAUACUCCUGACUGACCGAUAGUGAACCAGUACCGUGAGGGAAAGGCGAAAAGAACCCCGGCGAGGGGAGUGAAAAAGAACCUGAAACCGUGUACGUACAAGCAGUGGGAGCACGCUUAGGCGUGUGACUGCGUACCUUUUGUAUAAUGGGUCAGCGACUUAUAUUCUGUAGCAAGGUUAACCGAAUAGGGGAGCCGAAGGGAAACCGAGUCUUAACUGGGCGUUAAGUUGCAGGGUAUAGACCCGAAACCCGGUGAUCUAGCCAUGGGCAGGUUGAAGGUUGGGUAACACUAACUGGAGGACCGAACCGACUAAUGUUGAAAAAUUAGCGGAUGACUUGUGGCUGGGGGUGAAAGGCCAAUCAAACCGGGAGAUAGCUGGUUCUCCCCGAAAGCUAUUUAGGUAGCGCCUCGUGAAUUCAUCUCCGGGGGUAGAGCACUGUUUCGGCAAGGGGGUCAUCCCGACUUACCAACCCGAUGCAAACUGCGAAUACCGGAGAAUGUUAUCACGGGAGACACACGGCGGGUGCUAACGUCCGUCGUGAAGAGGGAAACAACCCAGACCGCCAGCUAAGGUCCCAAAGUCAUGGUUAAGUGGGAAACGAUGUGGGAAGGCCCAGACAGCCAGGAUGUUGGCUUAGAAGCAGCCAUCAUUUAAAGAAAGCGUAAUAGCUCACUGGUCGAGUCGGCCUGCGCGGAAGAUGUAACGGGGCUAAACCAUGCACCGAAGCUGCGGCAGCGACGCUUAUGCGUUGUUGGGUAGGGGAGCGUUCUGUAAGCCUGUGAAGGUGUACUGUGAGGUAUGCUGGAGGUAUCAGAAGUGCGAAUGCUGACAUAAGUAACGAUAAAGCGGGUGAAAAGCCCGCUCGCCGGAAGACCAAGGGUUCCUGUCCAACGUUAAUCGGGGCAGGGUGAGUCGACCCCUAAGGCGAGGCCGAAAGGCGUAGUCGAUGGGAAACAGGUUAAUAUUCCUGUACUUGGUGUUACUGCGAAGGGGGGACGGAGAAGGCUAUGUUGGCCGGGCGACGGUUGUCCCGGUUUAAGCGUGUAGGCUGGUUUUCCAGGCAAAUCCGGAAAAUCAAGGCUGAGGCGUGAUGACGAGGCACUACGGUGCUGAAGCAACAAAUGCCCUGCUUCCAGGAAAAGCCUCUAAGCAUCAGGUAACAUCAAAUCGUACCCCAAACCGACACAGGUGGUCAGGUAGAGAAUACCAAGGCGCUUGAGAGAACUCGGGUGAAGGAACUAGGCAAAAUGGUGCCGUAACUUCGGGAGAAGGCACGCUGAUAUGUAGGUGAAGUCCCUCGCGGAUGGAGCUGAAAUCAGUCGAAGAUACCAGCUGGCUGCAACUGUUUAUUAAAAACACAGCACUGUGCAAACACGAAAGUGGACGUAUACGGUGUGACGCCUGCCCGGUGCCGGAAGGUUAAUUGAUGGGGUUAGCGCAAGCGAAGCUCUUGAUCGAAGCCCCGGUAAACGGCGGCCGUAACUAUAACGGUCCUAAGGUAGCGAAAUUCCUUGUCGGGUAAGUUCCGACCUGCACGAAUGGCGUAAUGAUGGCCAGGCUGUCUCCACCCGAGACUCAGUGAAAUUGAACUCGCUGUGAAGAUGCAGUGUACCCGCGGCAAGACGGAAAGACCCCGUGAACCUUUACUAUAGCUUGACACUGAACAUUGAGCCUUGAUGUGUAGGAUAGGUGGGAGGCUUUGAAGUGUGGACGCCAGUCUGCAUGGAGCCGACCUUGAAAUACCACCCUUUAAUGUUUGAUGUUCUAACGUUGACCCGUAAUCCGGGUUGCGGACAGUGUCUGGUGGGUAGUUUGACUGGGGCGGUCUCCUCCUAAAGAGUAACGGAGGAGCACGAAGGUUGGCUAAUCCUGGUCGGACAUCAGGAGGUUAGUGCAAUGGCAUAAGCCAGCUUGACUGCGAGCGUGACGGCGCGAGCAGGUGCGAAAGCAGGUCAUAGUGAUCCGGUGGUUCUGAAUGGAAGGGCCAUCGCUCAACGGAUAAAAGGUACUCCGGGGAUAACAGGCUGAUACCGCCCAAGAGUUCAUAUCGACGGCGGUGUUUGGCACCUCGAUGUCGGCUCAUCACAUCCUGGGGCUGAAGUAGGUCCCAAGGGUAUGGCUGUUCGCCAUUUAAAGUGGUACGCGAGCUGGGUUUAGAACGUCGUGAGACAGUUCGGUCCCUA
RNAcentral lists this ribosomal RNA (2237 nucleotides) under Escherichia coli. RNAcentral describes it as "partial 23S ribosomal RNA". It matches the Rfam family "Bacterial large subunit ribosomal RNA", at positions 418 to 2640 of the family's 2925-position model. The record is from RNAcentral. Lineage: Bacteria; Pseudomonadati; Pseudomonadota; Gammaproteobacteria; Enterobacterales; Enterobacteriaceae.